RNAcentral lists this ribosomal RNA (252 nucleotides) under uncultured bacterium. Its description in RNAcentral is "partial 16S ribosomal RNA". It matches the Rfam family "Bacterial small subunit ribosomal RNA", at positions 524 to 776 of the family's 1533-position model. The record is from RNAcentral.
UACAGGGGUGCAAACGUUGCUCGGAAUUAUUGGGCGUAAAGCGCGCGUAGGCGGCUACUUAAGUCGGAUGUGAAAGCCCUUGGCUCAACUGAGGAAGUGCACCCGAAACUGAGUGGCUAGAGUACGAAAGAGGGUCGCGGAAUUCCCGGUGUAGAGGUGAAAUUCGUAGAUAUCGGGAGGAACACCGGUGGCGAAGGCGGCGACCUGGGUCGAUACUGACGCUGAUGCGCGAAAGCGUGGGGAGCAAACAGG